Molecule: ribosomal RNA, 253 nt
Filed under: uncultured bacterium
Lineage: Bacteria
Description: partial 16S ribosomal RNA
Rfam family: Bacterial small subunit ribosomal RNA
Source: RNAcentral
UACGGAUGUGGCUAGCGUUGUUCGGAAUUACUGGGCGUAAAGCGCACGUAGGCGGCUGUGUAAGUUAGAGGUGAAAGCCUGGAGCUCAACUCCAGAAUUGCCUUGAAGACUGCAUAGCUUGAAUCCAGGAGAGGUGAGUGGAAUUCCGAGUGUAGAGGUGAAAUUCGUAGAUAUACGGAAGAACACCAGUGGCGAAGGCGGCUCACUGGACUGGUAUUGACGCUGAGGUGCGAAAGCGUGGGGAGCAAACAGG